GCAGAGGUAGCCAAGUCUGGUCAAAGGCGCAGGACUCAAGAUCCUGUCCAUUAGUUGGUUCGUCGGUUCAAAUCAAAUCUCUCGCG
RNAcentral lists this transfer RNA (86 nucleotides) under Candidatus Aenigmarchaeota archaeon ex4484_14. Its description in RNAcentral is "tRNA-Leu". It matches the Rfam family "tRNA". Rfam says of the family: Transfer RNA (tRNA) molecules are approximately 80 nucleotides in length. Their secondary structure includes four short double-helical elements and three loops (D, anti-codon, and T loops). Further hydrogen bonds mediate the characteristic L-shaped molecular structure. tRNAs have two regions of fundamental functional importance: the anti-codon, which is responsible for specific mRNA codon recognition, and the 3' end, to which the tRNAs corresponding amino acid is attached (by aminoacyl-tRNA synthetases). tRNAs cope with the degeneracy of the genetic code in two manners: having more than one tRNA (with a specific anti-codon) for a particular amino acid; and 'wobble' base-pairing, i.e. permitting non-standard base-pairing at the 3rd anti-codon position. The record is from RNAcentral. Lineage: Archaea; Nanobdellati; Candidatus Aenigmatarchaeota.